UGAUCAUGGCUCAGAUUGAACGCUGGCGGUAUGCUUAACACAUGCAAGUCGAACGGAAACGAUGGAAGCUUGCUUCCAGGCGUCGAGUGGCGGACGGGUGAGUAACGCGUAGGAAUCUGCCAGAUAGUGGGGGAUAGCCCGGAGAAAUCCGGAUUAAUACCGCAUAAUCUCCAUGGAGUAAAGAGGGCCUCUAUUUAUAAGCUUUCGCUAUCUGAUGAGCCUGCGUAAGAUUAGCUAGUUGGUGGGGUAAUGGCCUACCAAGGCGACGAUCUUUAGCUGGUCUGAGAGGAUGAUCAGCCACACUGGGACUGAGACACGGCCCAGACUCCUACGGGAGGCAGCAGUGGGGAAUAUUGGACAAUGGGGGCAACCCUGAUCCAGCAAUACCGCGUGUGUGAAGAAGGCCUGAGGGUUGUAAAGCACUUUCAAUUGUGAAGAAAAGUUAAUAGUUAAUACCUAUUAGCCUUGACGUUAACUUUAGAAGAAGCACCGGCUAACUCCGUGCCAGCAGCCGCGGUAAUACGGAGGGUGCAAGCGUUAAUCGGAAUUACUGGGCGUAAAGCGUGCGUAGGCGGUUGACUAAGUCAGAUGUGAAAGCCCCGGGCUUAACCUGGGAACUGCAUUUGAAACUGGUCAACUAGAGUAUGGUAGAGGAAAGUGGAAUUUCUGGUGUAGCGGUGAAAUGCGUAGAUAUCAGAAGGAACAUCGAUGGCGAAGGCAGCUUUCUGGACCCUGGUAGUCCACGCCGUAAACGAUGAUAACUAGCCGUUGGGAGGGUUUACCUCUUAGUGGCGAAGCUAACGCGUUAAGUUAUCCGCCUGGGGAGUACGGCCGCAAGGCUAAAACUCAAAGGAAUUGACGGGGACCCGCACAAGCGGUGGAGCAUGUGGUUUAAUUCGAUGCAACGCGAAGAACCUUACCUGGUCUUGACAUACAGAGAACUUUCCAGAGAUGGAUUGGUGCCUUCGGGAACUCUGAUACAGGUGCUGCAUGGCUGUCGUCAGCUCGUGUCGUGAGAUGUUGGGUUAAGUCCCGUAACGAGCGCAACCCUUAUCCUUAUUUGCCAGCACUUCGGGUGGGAACUAUAAGGAGACUGCCGGUGAUAAACCGGAGGAAGGCGGGGACGACGUCAAGUCAUCAUGGCCCUUACGACCAGGGCUACACACGUGCUACAAUGGGAAGGACAAAGGGUCGCUAAGCCGCGAGGUGGUGCUAAUCUCAUAAACCUUUUCGUAGUCCGGAUCGGAGUCUGCAACUCGACUCCGUGAAGUCGGAAUCGCUAGUAAUCGUGGAUCAGAACGCCACGGUGAAUACGUUCCCGGGUCUUGUACACACCGCCCGUCAUACCAUGGGAGUGGGUUGCACCAGAAGUGGGUAGUCUAACUUAGGAGGACGCUCACCACGGUGUGAUUCAUGACUGGGGUAAAGUCGUAACA
Molecule: ribosomal RNA, 1436 nt
Filed under: uncultured bacterium
Lineage: Bacteria
Description: bacterial SSU rRNA
Rfam family: Bacterial small subunit ribosomal RNA
Source: RNAcentral